This 459-nucleotide ribosomal RNA is filed under the name uncultured bacterium. RNAcentral's name for it is "partial 16S ribosomal RNA". It matches the Rfam family "Bacterial small subunit ribosomal RNA", at positions 338 to 795 of the family's 1533-position model. The record is from RNAcentral.
CCUACGGGUGGCAGCAGUGAGGAAUAUUGGUCAACGGGCGCGAGCCUGAACCAGCCAAGUCGCGUGAGCGAAGACGGUCCUAUGGGUUGUAAACCUCUUUUGUCGGGGAGCAAAGGAAGCCACGCGUGGCGUUCCGAGAGUACCCGAAGAAAAAGCAUCGGCUAACUCCGUGCCAGCAGCCGCGGUAAUACGGAGGAUGCGAGCGUUAUCCGGAUUUAUUGGGUUUAAAGGGUGCGUAGGCGGAAGGUAAAGUCAGCGGGAAAAUUGAGAGGCUCAACCUCGUAGUGCCGUUGAUACUGGUUUUCUUGAGUGCACGAGAGGUAGGCGGAAUGCGUGGUGUAGCGGUGAAAUGCAUAGAUAUCACGCAGAACUCCGAUUGCGAAGGCAGCAUACCGGCGCUCAACUGACGCUCAUGCACGAAAGUGUGGGUAUCGAACAGGAUUAGAUACCCCGGUAGUC